UAUCGGGUUUCUGAACCCUGGGCA
Molecule: non-coding RNA, 24 nt
Filed under: Mus musculus (house mouse)
Lineage: Eukaryota; Metazoa; Chordata; Mammalia; Rodentia; Muridae
Source: RNAcentral